AUUCAUCUUUUGUCCUGAUUUAUUUCUUUUAAAAUUAUUUUUCUAAUUAUGCUAUAAAUUUGCUGUGAUGCAAAACAAUGGAUCUAAUAUUCCACCAUCAAUCUGGAUUCUGUUAGCACACAGGAAUUUAAUGUUCUGACUGUAGUCAAUGAAGCACAACAAAAGAAAUUCAAGAAACUGUAAUUAAAAAGUAAUAAAGUGAAGGACAGACUCACUCCGAAUGUUAAAUGUAUUUUAUUUUCAACUCCUCUGGAUUCAUGUGGGAAGCAAAUGGAAUUCAUUUCACAUGUAAACAUGUCGUUUAAGGUCACUUGGAUGUUGGACUGUUGGCAGGAAACACACUGUAGCAACAAGAGAUGUCACCCCACUGAAAUUCUUCAAUAGUAUGUCAGCACGAUCGUAUCAGUAGAUUUCUUAUGUAAAGCUCAGCAUGCACAAGAACUUUCCCAGCAGCCUUUAUUUCACUGGAUGAAAUGAAAAGGAAAAAAAGUAGGUCGGGAGGAAAUAUGGAUGGCUGAACCUUUACUAAAGAACAUUUGGCUAUUUAAUUAUGUUUAAAACAACAGAAGCCUCAUAAUUAAACUGUUUAAGUCAAGAUAAUCCGCAUUUGGACAGUCACGAUACUGAUUUGAUAAAAAGGCUCAGCAUUCAUGUUAAACUCAGAAAUCUGAUUUCCAACCAUGUUUGGAAGCUUUUUAAAAAAAAUAAUUAAUGAAUACGUUGACUUGUGUAUUAAUUUCUGUUGUACACAUAGAUGUAUUUCCACUGAUUGAGAGACUCUCAUAUGGUCAGUAAAUGCAGCCCAUAAACAGUAAAGAGACUAGGAAGUCCCAUCAUCUGAUGCUUUUGGACUGUGGGAGGAAACAGAAUGAGCAACUUGCACUCAGACUCCUUAGUCAGCCUACUCGCUAUGUGAUCAGUGCCAACCACUGAGUAAGUGUGCUUCCUUUUAAUUAACUAUUUAAGAACUAAUUAAUUAGUGAAGCUGAUGGAGCUGCCUUUCAUUUAGGACCUAUUUCUGCGCUUUAAUUACAGCUGUGAUUUAAUUUCGCCACCUUCAGUUUCCAACAAAACUGAGAGCAGAGCUGCAUGUUCAUAAUUUGAAACUAUCUGUUGGCUCUCCUGAAAAACAUUGUCAGUGAAGUUUUCAUUUCAUCACCUAUUACUAUAGUGGGCCAGAAGAGUCACACCUCAUCCUCCAUACAGGACCUUUUGUUUGUAAAAUAUAAAAGAAUGCACUAUGAAAUUAAUCAGUUUCGUGGGAAGCUGUAUCUUUGAAAAAUUACUAUACAAUACAUUUGGAUUGGUACUGAAAUAUGCCACACAGACGGACAAAUUGGACAUCCUUGUGGCAUCUGGAUUAUUGGCAUUGCCAGCAUGGCUUACAGCACCUUUAAUCCAUUUAAACUCAUACUGUAUUUAAAACAAACCAAACAGCUGCAAAAGGGGAACCCCCACAGCUUUAGUAACACAUUGCACACAGUCUUUACCUACUCAACCUGUUAUCUAAACCCCACAUCAGGUUUUUCCAUGAUCUUGACACCCAAAGGCAGUGGCAUUUCAUCAGGGCAAGCAAAACGGGCCCUGCUUGCCCUUCCAUAAAGCUGCUAUUUGCAUCCUCGUUUGUAUUACUGUCAUCUUGUAGCUAUUGUCCCUGGAAGCCCACACAGUGGGGAUGGAGUGUUUGUGUUUUGUGUGCAUAUAGACCAAAACCUUUUAUUCUGCAAGUUCUUUUUUUGGACGCAACCCCAAGUGGCCAUAAAAGGAACUGCAGCGUUUAAUACUUUGCGGUGGAUUCAUUUUUCAGCCCAUGGUUGGCACACUGCUGGAAUGAAUGGCAGUGUAGGUUAUCUACAUUUAUCAAUUAGUUGUUCAUAGUAACACUGCUAAAAGGCAGAAACUUUCCAAGGUAACCAUGGUUACCCAUGCUCACCAUGUUAGUCCACUGUUUCAGUAUGCAAACACAAAGCUAAAGCCAUGGGAAACAUCCACUUUUUUGUCUGCAUUUAAACUUGAUGGUGGUGCUAGAUGAAAGUUAGGAGAUCAAAAGGGGAAUUGAAUCUCUAAACCAGGAGAAAACUUCAUAGUGAACCUUGUGAAGCAGUCAGGGACCACUAAAAUUCAGGAUUUCACUUCAGGGGACUUGAAUUUAUGUAUAACUAUUAGCCCCCCCUGCAAGUCAUCAACCUAAUUAUUUCAGUCUGGACCAAAAAUGGUGGAUCAGCCAGCAAACAUACCGAUCCCCAGAGUUAGGGUGGCUAAUGUGCUAAAAAUACUGAUUAAACAAAGUUUAAAUAUGACCUAAGUGACACACUCGCCAAAAAAAGAUGCAGGAGUCAUGAGUGGAGCAGCUGCUUCUGCUUUAGAAGCUGUCCUCGAGGGCUGGUGUGCUAAAUCCAGAUGUGACAACUGCAGUGUAGAGAUUGUGAUAUCUCAGUGUCAGGGGGAGGAAAAUGAUGCACAGAGCUUUUAUGCUAUCAUUCCUAAAAUUAUGCCUUCACCAAACAAAUUCAACAGGGAUGUUGCUCACUGUGUUUCAGCAAAUCAGAUGUUCAGACAGCCUCUCUCAGUCGACCAGCUGUGCUGCCAGCAAAAAUAUUCAUCACAUACAUGUUUCAGCAGCUCCUCAACCGCACAGAGAGGCUGUGUAUGGCCUAAUGUAUUUGAUAUAAAUAAUUUAUGAUGACUUUCCUCAGCUUUGCCCUAAAGAAUGAUUUAAAAGAGAACAAUAAUGCAUCAUUGUUCAGUUUGAGGCAUUAGUUUAUUAGUUUUUUUGCCCGGCAGUUAACAGAAAGAUUUAUGAAUGCCCGUAUUUCCUCUCCCAGGUGGACCAGUGAUAUAAACCAGUGACCUUUCAGUCACACACCUGCUGGCACUAAGAUAGGUGCCUUUAUUCUUUUGAACUAAUGGGGAGCAGAGUCUCUCAUUUUAUAGACUGCCUUCACUACAAAGGAAUUACGCUUAGAUCUUCGUGGUCAUCAGGGCAAGACCGAAACUGCUCAGUGAGGUUAAUUUAGACAGUUUUAAAACAAAACUUAAAAAUUUAGUAGCUGUUUGAUUUGAAGACACUUAACAACACCUGCAAAUGCAGACGGUUAAAGCUUUUCUGAGUCAAUUAUCCAGGUCCUACUCCAGCAUUCAUGUGCUCCCUCUGGAGGACUUCACCCAGGAAUACAAUGGGUUCAUAUGUGGUUUUGGCUUAUCACACUGGAACAGUUUCAAAAGCAGAAUGUUUAGUCUAACAGGACCCUGUAUGUUGUUCUUGCAUCCAGCUUCCUUCCCGCCUCAGCUGCUCCGCUCAGUAUGACGUGAUUUCCGUAAAAAAAUAACAGACUGAGUCACUAAAACGAGGGCUGAGGGUAAAGCUGCUUCUGAAACAUGGUGUGGUGCAUUUGGUGGAACUGUAAACUUUACGGGCAGUUUAAAUGUUUUUGCAGACCUUGCAAAUUUUCGUAACCUGGUGUCGAAAAAGCACCGAGUGGGAGGUCGUUGCAACUGAUGGAAAGAUCAGAUGCUCUACAGAAAACUUUAAAAAGUUUUCUGGGUUAUGAAACCUGUUGUUUAGAAAAAGAUUUUAAUGAGUCGUACAGGUAUUAAUAGUUAUUCUGCUGUGAGACCAACACACCGCAGCUUGGGUGAGAGAAUCAGCUCUGAGCCUAGUUUAAUCCCGGGAUACAAGCAUUUCUUCUGAGACCAUCCUCCUCCAUUGUACUUCAAGUUCAGGUGUAGAUGUAUUAUCAUCAACCAAAGUGGGUGCCUUAAACCUGCCUUCUUUUUAAUGGUCACUAAGGGGCGACUCCUCUGGUUGCACAAAGACUGGCCUCUACAUAUCUAUUGGGAAAACAGGCCUCAGCUCUGAACUCUAUAAACAUAGAGUUGGGUCGCUCAUUUUAGGUCAAAAUAAUUAAAACAUUAAGCACAUUUUACAAAAUUUCAGACAUUCUAAUGGGCAUGCUCUUUGGCUAAUGCCUUGGUUUGAAAACUCCAAUAAGGCGACAGCAAAAUUCCUCAUCGGAUGGCUAAAAACUCGAAUCAACUGAUGGGUAAUACCACCGUAGCUAUGUUCAUUUUUUAUACUGUCCAUUAUGGAGAUGUUAAGUGGCUAUGUCAAUAAAUACAUCUAAGAUGAACACGUGUGAAACCCACUAUCCUGGUAUCUUACAAACCAGGUGCUUUUUAACCUGAACUGUUACCUUGUACUAUUCUAAAACAGGAUGUUUUGGUAUCAAACCCUUAAGAGAGAGACGGUGAAACCUGAUGUUUAUAUGGCAUUUCAAACUAAUUGUUUAGUGGGAGAAUUGUUCCUUUCACUUACAGUUUGGCUUUUAUUACCUCAGGACCCCUCAACUGUAGCCACGUGUGGGGUUCUGACCUACAUGUUGGGAACCACUGUCGCUCUACUACUUCCCAGUUGGGUUUUUUUGGUUUUGUUUAUUUUUAGUCAUUUUUUGAAUGUUUUUCCCGUUUCCUCUGUGCAGCUCUGAGGUAUACUUGACUUCUCCUGUGUGCUUGUAACCUACUUAACUUUCUGUGAACAACUCAAAGUAAGGACUCACUUCCAACUGUAAGAAACAGUCUGGAUUUCAAGUUUCCGCAUCCAUGCAAGAAACUUCUGUUUAACAUAACGUUGAAACGUCACAGCUCCAUCCAUCACGCCGGGGACUGAAACGUUUCCAUCUUUGACAAGCUGCUGCGACUUGAAAGCUUCCAGAGAGGCUGGAAAAUAUCAAAUUGUGUCUUUAGAUCGUUCAGCUCAAUUAUUUUGGGUUGGAAAGUAGCCGUCACAGCACAUUAAAGCCAUGUGGUGUGCAGCACAAAACCUGCUCUGGAGAUUUUACGAAGCAAGCUUGGACUCAAAUGACAAAACGUAUUUACAGAAAUGGCACAGCUUUUCUCCCAGACUCGGGACUUUUAAUGGCAUGUUGCCCUUUAACAUGAAUGUAAUGAUUCAGUAUCUGAAUCAUCAUCCGUUCCCCUGCUGUGGGAGUUGACAUGCUUUGUUGUGUAUUCCCACAGUUUAAAUAUGAGGCUUCUGCUGUCAUUUUAUUUUGAAAAGUAAAAGACCCUCAGAAAUCACUCAAAGGAAGAAGUUUUUUAAAGCACACUAAUUUUUUCCCCUCAGUAAGGUGCAUUUACAGCUUUCAGCUCUUUGAGUGCUUCUGACAGCCACAUGAAUCCAGUCAAACACACUGUACUGUACCAUAAGCUGAUGCAGGCAUGUAAAUGACUCAACUUGGAUAUUAUUAGCUCAUCUUCACUCACUGUGGCGCUGAUCAGCUUUGACGUCACUCAUAAUCAUCUGGUGCGGGCGCCUGCAGCCACGGCUCCUCCAUCGCGGAUGCUGCGAUGCAAAUCAUCUGAAAUGUUUUGAGGCCGUUUGGCUCAUAAUUUAAAUUAUAAAGAGACAUUCAUUUAUCUGUUUUAUUACUCCUCUUUUUUUGUUUUUUUUUUGUUUUUGGGAAAGGCUGCUGGGAUGAGUCCGAGUUAGAAAAGAGACACACAAUAAAAACAGACCAAACAAACAAAAGCACGGGCUCAGAAACAAGCACUUUACAUCGUUUUUGAGGAUUCUCCAAACACAUUAAGCAGCCAGUCUUACACAAAUCAUCAGCAUGAAUAAAAUCCCAGUGAAUUUGGAGGGUUGAGGGGAUUCAGACAGACAGGGGGGAAAGCCCCAGAAUCUUACUGCAACUAUGGGAUGUGCUUGGAGGUGAUUUGGUAUCGUUGCUCUGGUUAUGGACGGGGGAUCUGGUAAAGCAGUGGUUCUCAAACCUUUUAUGGCAUGCCCAUCUUCAAAAUGCCCACGCCCCCAUGUCACAAGCUACAGCGGACAACUUCAAAUGUUGAGUUUUUCACCCUUUAAGAGUGAAAAAUAUUAAUUGUUGGUGUUUUGUAUUAUGUAAUUUGUCGGUAGAAUUACAUUGGGAAAAAAAAAAUUAAAGGUGAAAACCUACAGAAAUGUUAAAAAAAACCAAACAGAUACAAUAUUUAAAAAUUAUGUGUGUCCAGAAACUCAAGUAGAAAUCUGAACAUCAGAACAAACUAUACACUACUAUGCUUCCAUUUUCUCUACAAAAAUCAUCCUGAUUUAGUUUCACUCCAUACGUUCCCUCUGGACAUCCACGCCCCACAGUUUGAGAACCACUGCCAUAAAAAGGGGCAACAUGAGGUCCAUGGCUUCAAGUUCGGGAUCACCAUGGGUCCAUCUGUGCUACAGCUCAACAAGCAGCACCACUUUGCCCCGCCCCCAAAAAAAGACCCUGAGUGGACACACAACUGCAUGUUUGUUGGAGCCAGCGCCCAGUUACAUCAGCAGGUUAUGCUCGGAUGUUUUUCAGAUGUUAAUUUUCUGUAAAUGGUGCAGCUAAAGGAAGAUUUCAACUGUUCAGGCUUUUCCAUAUUCUUAGUUGUGGAGGAAAAACAGCAGAGAGGGAUUAAACCAUCUCCUUUAUAUUGAUCAUAGAGACAUUUGAUUAAUAUCUCAACUCGAAACAAAAGCAUAGAAACUUUUUUUAAAAAUGCUGAUAAUUAUUAAGGAAUUUGUGAUUUAUUAGUUUUAUUUUUGCACAUUAACAAGAUACUUUAUCAUUUAAGUUAGUGUGGCCCAAGGCAUGAAAUCACAUGUGGGAAAAAAAUAAGAGUAAUGGAAAGACGAGGUGAGUUUCAUCCAGUCAAAAAUCAAAACAGAAUCCUGGUUUUAGGUGGGUCCAUCUUUUAAAUAUUUUAAAUGAAAUUAAAAAAGCAUUUAUUUUUUUUCUGUUUUCAGAUCGUUCUGGAUGUUUGAACACCUGAACACAGACUUUAAAAUAAAAUCUGAGUUAUUCCCACGAUUUUUAUCGAUCAACAACAACAAAAUAAGACCCGUGAACGCGCGAGGUUAAAACAGAGUAACUGCUCGUGUUUUUCUCCGACUUCUCGUCUGUUGUAUUUACUUUAUUGUUUUCCCAACAAUAAAUAAAAACAAACAGCAUUAAAAAACAAACAGAAACACAGACACGUGGAAAACAACAAAUAGACACACAUUAGUUCAUAAAAGUCAAACAUUAAAAUGAAAAGGCCGAGAAAAGGCGGGUUCAUUUAGAUCAGAGGUAACACGCCAUCUGCAAGUUUUAAUAGCAGGAAUACAAAAGCAAACCUUUUAAACCAUUAAAAAAAAAAAAACCCACUAAGAUCUCAGGAUACAAAAGGUGUCUGCACUCUUAAAGCAAUGACAGGUAUUUUUUACCCAGACAUUUUGAGUCUAAUGGUGUGUUCAGAGUAAGUGCAAAGCGAGGUUUUGCCUCAUGAAUGAAGUCUCUUUAGCACUUUUUUUUUUUUUUUUUUUUUUUAAAUGUUGAUAACUACUUUUAUCCAGACUGCAGCAGAUACAGAUCCCUCCCUUUUUUCUGUCUUUAUAUAAAAGAGAAUCUUCAGCUGCUCACAAACGAUAAGCUUUUCCUCCUUUUCUGAUCACUUGUGGCAUCAGGAGAACACAUGGGAGGGGUCGAACGAAUAGGGUUAAAAUUUGCUUUAAUGGACAGCGUUUAGGAUUUACGGUCCUCAUCUUUGCUGCGUUAAAGUACCGCAGAACUGACGCUGGCUCACUUGAUUACACUUUCGCCAUCAUAAAGAUCUGCGAAGUCUUAAUGGGCCUUCAAACAGGAAGGGCUGGUUGCAAGGGGGCGGUCCAGUACCACCUCUUCAUGUUAACCAACAGUGUCCUUUACUCUUAUUGGUACUUGCUUCAAUUUGCCUUAACUGCAAAGCCUAGAAAAGUUUUAAUCUGGUAUCUCUAAGUGUGAGUGGCUUUCUAUGGUUUCUGGUUGCAGUGAUGUUGCUGCUAGUCGCUUCUUGGGUGGACGCCCCUUGAAAACCAGCAGGCAAAUCCUGUUGUACAGCGAUCUAGUUGAUUAAUCACCCACAUGCCCGUUACAAACAUACAAGAACGUAUUUUCGACUCUCUGAGCACUACAGGGUAUAAAUGUGCGACAAUCGGUCCCGCCGUGCAAACUUUGCUUUGCGUUUACCCCAAACACACCACAACAUUCCUGCUUCUCUGUAGUGAGAUAAAACUGUUUUCAGAUCUCAGGAGUCGACUUCUUUUGAACUGAAUGCUAGCAGACAGAAAUGAUGUGCAAAAACACAAAAAAUUAUGUAAAAGAUGUAAAAAAACAAAAACAAAAAACCCAGAAAAAACAAAAACAGAACACACAACCUUUAACCCUCAAGCAACCAAGCUCUUAACUACAUGGGAACACAUUUUGUAUGGCUCUGUCCAAGUUUGUGGGGUUUCCUUGACCUGUGAUGAAAUUUUCUAAUAAUUAAUAAUAAUUAUGGUUUUAAAUCACUUUUAUCCACUUAAAAAAAUGCAAGUUACUAGUAGUAGCUAUGGGUUGCUGCAACAAGAAAAAAAAAAAAAAAAAAAAAAAAAAAAAAUGUGGAGAUUAAAAGUGAAAAAUUCUAACAAAAAACGUUAAAAAACAGAACUCUACAUCAUCUUUGCAGCACCAGCUCCCAUAAAGAACAAUGAAAAGUUGCAGAAGUAGAUGGAUAAACACGUUUUCCCACACAUGUAUAAAUACACAGCACUCGGUCACUUGAAGGUUAAAGAACUCAGAGCCUUGGAAUCCAUUCACACUUCUCUCGCAUCUAACAGUGUUUCCUCCAAUACACCACUUAAGUUAUAACAACUCUUCCCAUACCGUGACACGUUUCAUGUAACUGGGCGCUGGGCUGUAAAAAGGCAUUUUCAUGUACUUCGUCAGGCUUUAGUAAGCACGUACUUAUGAGUAAUUCAUGAGCGAAAUGCAUGUUGAAGAGCAGAGUCAUUACAACUACAAUGCAAAGCUUUUCCCCUCCUUUAAAUGAUGCAAAAUGGCGUGAUGAGAAAAUGAAGAAGGAAACCUCCCAAACCUCCUCUCAUUUUACUGAGGGCUCGCAUUCUCAUAGAGAUCAAGUCUGCCUCACUCUGCAGCUCAGCUUGAGGGAGAGAGGAAAAAACAACAACAACAACAACAACAAAAAAGAAAACAGCGGGCUGCUUUGAAAAGGAGAAGCAGCUCCUCAUUUAGCACGGUAAACAAGAAGCUUUGAAGUCAGCCAUUUAAAAUAGGAUUUACAUGAAUAAAUAAAUCGCUCACUGAUGUGAGGCAGAAGGCUUUGGGUAAUCGUCUGUGAUUCUAACACACAUGACACUGCAAAUAACACUGCGAGGUUCAAGUCUGGGAAUUAUUAAUAAAUACCACCUGCUCCGGUCUGCGCUGCGCCUUUGUUCAAACUUUGCUCGGCGGCGAGCUCCUGACGGAGGUCGCGAAGAAUGAAAAUCGCUUUAUUUGACGAGGCGACGGAUGACGAAGUUCAUAUUAAACGCCACUUUACUGAUGUCAUCGUUCACGUCGGUGACAGAGCGUCUCCGUCCAUCCUCGGCUGUACAAAUUAACGACGACAUCCUCGUCCGCCUCGCCCGGCUUGUAGAUGUGCUUCGCAACUCUGUGCUUCACCUCCAUCUCUUUGAAAUAUAUUAAAAUAAUAAUAAGAAACUCUCACUAGGGAUGGGGUUCGAUAGCGUUUCAAGUGUCAAAUCUCCAGUAACGAAAAGCUGCUGUUUUUAGUGGCAGCUUGAUUAAAUAAACAUGAGCCGAGCAGCAUAAAGUAUGAAAUAUUAAUUAAAUGUAUGUGACACAUUUAAUUAAAAGCUGCAGGCUACUGUACUUCACCAGCUAUUCUAAAACGCUCGGGGUGAUUUAACGAGGCAAAAAACAGCACCGACUCCAUGCUGGCGUGUUGCAGAGGUGAGAGAACGGCCUCUCGUAUAAAUGUUUGUUUAUAAGCGAAAUUCACGAGUGGCCCGGAUCACUGGGGAUAAAAACACCCAUCUGAGCUGAACUUGAACAAGUCUGGCAGGUAAAUACGAGAAUAUAACUACACUGUAAAAACGAUAACUAGUAAUUGUUGAUUUGAGUAAAGUUUUCAAAUUAAACUGACUUAGAAAUAAAACUUUCCAUUUACAACCUAAAAUAGCUUGUCUGCCCAACAAAUUUCUUCCAUUGUUGUCCUAACUAAGAUUUUCUAGCGAGCAUAACAAAGAUUAUCAACUUUUGAGUAGAUUUUU
Oreochromis aureus is the source of this 10090-nucleotide long non-coding RNA. The record is from Ensembl. Lineage: Eukaryota; Metazoa; Chordata; Actinopteri; Cichliformes; Cichlidae.